GAUGUAACGCUCGGCGGGCGGUGCCUACACAGUGCAAGUCGAACGAGGCAAGUAAGAGUGAAAGGUCUUCGGAAUGGAUUCUUAUUUACCGAGUGGCGGACGGGUGAGUAACGCGUGGGUAACCUGCCUCAUACAGGGGGAUAACGGUUAGAAAUGACUGCUAAUACCGCAUAAGCGCACAGUACCGCAUGGUACGGUGUGAAAAACUCCGGUGGUAUGAGAUGGACCCGCGUCUGAUUAGCUAGUUGGUGGGGUAACGGCCCACCAAGGCGACGAUCAGUAGCCGACCUGAGAGGGUGACCGGCCACAUUGGGACUGAGACACGGCCCAG
Molecule: ribosomal RNA, 331 nt
Filed under: uncultured bacterium
Lineage: Bacteria
Description: bacterial SSU rRNA
Rfam family: Bacterial small subunit ribosomal RNA
Source: RNAcentral